Molecule: long non-coding RNA, 644 nt
Filed under: Olea europaea subsp. europaea
Lineage: Eukaryota; Viridiplantae; Streptophyta; Magnoliopsida; Lamiales; Oleaceae
Source: RNAcentral
GCGCUAACUUGUUGCUUUUAGCAUCACCAAGAAUCGUAAAUUGGAGCUGGUCCCAAAAAAUUGUCCCGGGUACUCUACUUUUGCACAGGACCAAAAAGAAAAAAAUAUAUAUAAAAUUCAAAGAAUUCGGGUGUCGUCACACGUGAUAUCAGAUUAGCAGAGAAAAGAUCUUUAAAAAGGGAAAGUAGUUAGGAAUGGUGACUAUAUAAGCAUGUGUCGAGUACAAAUAUUUAUUCAGAUAAGUUGCAUUAUUCAAGAAGUUCGAAGAGAGACUUUUAGGAGAUACGUGACUGUAAUUGGAGGCAGAUACUGCAACAGAAACUAUUUCGAUUUCAUAGCAUAGAACGUGCCACCCAUGAUACUGGCCUGCAAUAUGCAAUAAAUUUCCAUGUUCAGAACAACUGAAUAAUUUAUGAGAACUUCAUGAAAUUAAUUGAGCACUUAGAUAAAAAUGCUAUUGAUACGAAAAUUGUGAAUCAGAAUCAUUACUCAAGCUUUGGUUUCAUUUCGCAAGAAUAUCUUAUUGCUCUCUACAAGCUAAUGUCCAUGCAUGUCAGUAUGCUGUAUCAGACAAGAUUAGGAGUCUGUUUGGGAGUGAUUUUGAGAAUUGAUUUUUUGACCGUUAGGAGAAAAGUGGGGCCUAC